This 29-nucleotide small RNA is filed under the name Bombyx mori (domestic silkworm). RNAcentral's name for it is "ovarian small RNA-34138". The record is from RNAcentral. Lineage: Eukaryota; Metazoa; Arthropoda; Insecta; Lepidoptera; Bombycidae.
UGCUAUUCGGCGAUAGAUGGAGUUACUGU